AGGAGAGGGAGGGGGUGGAGGGGGGAGCUGAACGGAAGCGUGAUGCGAGACUUAGGAGUGAACUGCAGCCUGGUCUCUAUAAAUCAAUGCUAAAAAACCUACACAUCCAUAUUAACCAGGAGACAUUGUGCGAGACUCCAUCCAAAGAAAGGGGGAACCACCCCAUACGGAGAUCUCACGACCGUGAUAGACAUCACCAGAACCGCAGUCCUGACAUCUGACAGCAAUCAAUGGAUACACAAAAUGCACCUAAAGAGGGCCCCCACCCCAUGAGGAUUACUCCACAGGAUACACCAUCCUCAGAUGACAACGGUGACCCCCCCCUUGAGGCCCUACCCAGUCCUCGCCCAAGGAAACGGCGAUCGAGUCUGAAAAUCUACCUCAUCAUUUUCCUCAGCAAAAUUCUUGUUUUAGCAGGAUUUGUCUACUUAUCAUUUUCCUUAGCACCAUGUGUGCACAUCACCAUGAGGAGUUACCCUGUUUGUGUGGACAGUCUCCGGACCGCCCCAACAGGAACAUAACAGUAGACAAGAGAGCAUUAGACAUACAUGAUGACAAUUUGUGGGAAUACAUGGCACGGAUUGUUCUUAACACUAGUUACAGGUGUUUAAAGGAUGUCACUAGUGCAACUGAACUGAUUGAGACUUGUUUUGUAGCUGUUGCUACUCCCACCAUUGUGCUUACUGACAUUUUCCAUGCUAAAAAUGACUCUGAAGUGCAAGAUUCUGAUAUUGAAACACAUGUCUCUGUAUAUGCUUAUGUUACAGAUCAAAAUGCUACUAGACGCAUGCGAAAGAAUUUUGCUUCCAUAGUUACUCACAAUGUAACUGCAAGUGACAUAUGCUAUAACAUGACUUGUAAUGUUAGCGACAUCACUGUGUGCAUUCAGGCACGUUUGACUAAGAGUACUGACCCGCACCCAGUGUGCAGUAGGAUGACUUCUCAAUGCAAUCAAUCACCACAAUUAUGUCAUGUAAUCAUACCAUCCUGGCACCUAGUUUAGCUAAGCAUGUGCCAAUGCCCAGAGGUUGGUUCUGCUCUUGUAGGAACAACUCGUUUAAUUACAUUCCAGCUAAUAUUUCUGGUGGACCCUGUGCAUUAACUAGACUUAGUUUAGCUGUUCAUACAGCUCACCCCGGACAGGCCACCCAGGCCCAGCGCCCUAAUAGAGGCACAGAUUAUGAAUACAUACCUAGGAUUGCAAGACACUUAAUGUCUAAGUCUGAAAUAAUAGCGCUAGGAUUCUCACUGGUAGGAGUACCAGGAUUGACUGUAUAUCAGGGUAAACAAAUUAAUGAAAUCGCUUGCAUCAUAGUUAAGAGCAUUAAUGCUGCCAGCAUUGCAAUUGCAAAUCUAUUGACUGACAUAGGAGACGCUAGAAAAGUUGUACU
Xenopus tropicalis (tropical clawed frog) is the source of this 1391-nucleotide long non-coding RNA. RefSeq lists it as uncharacterized. Lineage: Eukaryota; Metazoa; Chordata; Amphibia; Anura; Pipidae. The record is from RefSeq and is a predicted model, not a curated record. The transcript has 2 exons.